Molecule: ribosomal RNA, 469 nt
Filed under: uncultured bacterium
Lineage: Bacteria
Description: partial 16S ribosomal RNA
Rfam family: Bacterial small subunit ribosomal RNA
Source: RNAcentral
GACGAACGCUGGCGGCGUGCUUAACACAUGCAAGUCGAACGGAAAGGCCCUGUUUUUGUGGGGUGCUCGAGUGGCGAACGGGUGAGUAACACGUGAGUUACCUGCCCUUUACUUUUGGAUAACUUCAGGAAACUGGGGUUACUACCGGAUAGGAGCUCCUGCUGCAUGGGGGGGGUUGGAUAGUUUUGGCGGUUGUGGAUGGACUCGCGGUUUAUUAGCUUGUGGGUGGGGGGGUGGCUUAACAAGGCUUUGGUGGGUAGCCGGGCUGGGAGGGGGGCCGGGCCCAAUGGGGACUAGAAAAGGGCCAGACUCCCACGGGGGGGAAGAGGGGGGGAAUUUUGACAAAUGGGCGGAAGCCUGAUGCAGCAACGCCGCGUGCGGAAUGCCGGCCUUCGGGUUGUAAACCGCUUUCGCAUGUGACGAGGCGGGAGUGACGGUAAUGGGAAAAGAAGCACCGGCUAACUACGUG